GUACACUCCUACGGGAGGCAGCAGUGGGGAAUUUUGGACAAUGGGCGAAAGCCUGAUCCAGCCAUGCCGCGUGCAGGAUGAAGGCCUUCGGGUUGUAAACUGCUUUUGUACGGAACGAAACGGCCUUUUCUAAUAAAGAGGGCUAAUGACGGUACCGUAAGAAUAAGCACCGGCUAACUACGUGCCAGCAGCCGCGGUAAUACGUAGGGUGCAAGCGUUAAUCGGAAUUACUGGGCGUAAAGCGUGCGCAGGCGGUUAUGUAAGACAGUUGUGAAAUCCCCGGGCUCAACCUGGGAACUGCAUCUGUGACUGCAUAGCUAGAGUACGGUAGAGGGGGAUGGAAUUCCGCGUGUAGAAGUGAAAUGCGUAGAUAUGCGGAGGAACACCGAUGGCGAAGGCAAUCCCCUGGACCUGUACUGACGCUCAUGCACGAAAGCGUGGGGAGCAAACAGGAUUAGAUACCCGUGUAGUCCCA
This 475-nucleotide ribosomal RNA is filed under the name uncultured organism. Its description in RNAcentral is "partial 16S ribosomal RNA". It matches the Rfam family "Bacterial small subunit ribosomal RNA", at positions 331 to 797 of the family's 1533-position model. The record is from RNAcentral.